Regulatory RNA element from Roseateles aquatilis, 117 nucleotides. It matches the Rfam family "ALIL pseudoknot". The record is from Rfam. Lineage: Bacteria; Pseudomonadati; Pseudomonadota; Betaproteobacteria; Burkholderiales; Sphaerotilaceae.
CGCGUUUUUCGCCCAGGCGGAGCUCGACCGCCGCAUCAAGUCCUGAAGGCGUUCAUCGACCAGCACCGCCAGCAGCUUGGGGUCGAGUCGAUCUGCCGCGUCUUGCAGAUUGCCCCA